Molecule: ribosomal RNA, 427 nt
Filed under: uncultured bacterium
Lineage: Bacteria
Description: partial 16S ribosomal RNA
Rfam family: Bacterial small subunit ribosomal RNA
Source: RNAcentral
UGGGGAAUAUUGGACAAUGGGCGAAAGCCUGAUCCAGCCAUGCCGCGUGUGUGAAGAAGGUCUUCGGAUUGUAAAGCACUUUAAGUUGGGAGGAAGGGCAUUAACCUAAUACGUUAGUGUUUUGACGUUACCGACAGAAUAAGCACCGGCUAACUCUGUGCCAGCAGCCGCGGUAAUACAGAGGGUGCAAGCGUUAAUCGGACUUACUGGGCGUAAAGCGCGGGUAGGUGGUUUGUUAAGUGGGAUGUGAAAUCCCCGGGCUCAACCUGGGAACUGCAUUCAAAACUGACUGACUAGAGUAUGGUAGAGGGGGGUGGAAUUUCCUGUGUAGCGGUGAAAUGCGUAGAUAUAGGAAGGAACACCAGUGGCGAAGGCGACCACCUGGACUAAUACUGACACUGAGGUGCGAAAGCGUGGGGAGCAAACA